AGUGAACGCUGGCGGUAGGCCUAACACAUGCAAGUCGAACGGCAGCACAGUAAGAGCUUGCUCUUACGGGUGGCGAGUGGCGGACGGGUGAGGAAUACAUCGGAAUCUACUUUUUCGUGGGUGAUAACGUAGGGAAACUUACGCUAAUACCGCAUACGACCUACGGGUGAAAGCAGGGGAUCUUCGGACCUUGCGCGAUUGAAUGAGCCGAUGUCGGAUUAGCUAGUUGGCGGGGUAAAGGCCCACCAAGGCGACGAUCCGUAGCUGGUCGGAGAGGAUGAUCAGCCACACUGGAACUGAGACACGGUCCAGACUCCUACGGGAGGCAGCAGUGGGGAAUAUUGGACAAUGGGCGCAAGCCUGAUCCAGCCAUACCGCGUGGGUGAAGAAGGCCUUCGGGUUGUAAAGCCCUUUUGUUGGGAAAGAGAAGCAGCAGGUUAAUACCCCGCUGUUCUGACGGUACCCAAAGAAUAAGCACCGGCUAACUUCGUG
RNAcentral lists this ribosomal RNA (492 nucleotides) under uncultured bacterium. RNAcentral's name for it is "partial 16S ribosomal RNA". It matches the Rfam family "Bacterial small subunit ribosomal RNA", at positions 29 to 507 of the family's 1533-position model. The record is from RNAcentral.